Molecule: ribosomal RNA, 460 nt
Filed under: uncultured bacterium
Lineage: Bacteria
Description: partial 16S ribosomal RNA
Rfam family: Bacterial small subunit ribosomal RNA
Source: RNAcentral
CCUACGGGGGGCAGCAGUGAGGAAUAUUUGUCAAUGGACGAGAGUCUGAACCAGCCAAGUAGCGUGAAGGAUGACUGCCCUAUGGGUUGUAAACUUCUUUUAUAUGGGAAUAAAAUGUUCCACGUGUGGGAUUUUGUAUGUACCAUAUGAAUAAGGAUCGGCUAACUCCGUGCCAGCAGCCGCGGUAAUACGGAGGAUCCGAGCGUUAUCCGGAUUUAUUGGGUUUAAAGGGAGCGUAGGUGGAUUGUUAAGUCAGUUGUGAAAGUUUGCGGCUCAACCGUAAAAUUGCAGUUGAAACUGGCAGUCGUGAGUACAGUAGAGGUGGGCGGAAUUCGUGGUGUAGCGGUGAAAUGCUUAGAUAUCACGAAGAACUCCGAUUGCGAAGGCAGCUCACUGGACUGGAACUGACACUGAGGCUCGAAAGUGAGGGUAUCAAACAGGAUUAGAUACCCUAGUAGUC